This 568-nucleotide ribosomal RNA is filed under the name Rostroraja alba (bottlenosed skate). Its description in RNAcentral is "partial large subunit ribosomal RNA". It matches the Rfam family "Bacterial large subunit ribosomal RNA", at positions 1857 to 2618 of the family's 2925-position model. Lineage: Eukaryota; Metazoa; Chordata; Chondrichthyes; Rajiformes; Rajidae. The record is from RNAcentral.
GCCUGCCCUGUGACAUUGUUUAACGGCCGCGGUAUUAUGACCGUGCGAAGGUAGCGUAAUCACUUGUCUUUUAAUUGAAGACCUGUAUGAAAGGCAUCACGAGAGUUUACCUGUCUCUAUUUUCCAAUCAAUGAAAUUGAUCUCCCCGUGCAGAAGCGGGGAUAAAACCAUAAGACGAGAAGACCCUAUGGAGCUUUAAACACUUAAGUUAUUAUCUUAACCAAUAAUUAAUCUAAAGACUAAACCUACCAUAAUGAUAGCCUAACUUAAUGUUUUCGGUUGGGGCGACCAAGGAGUAAAAUAAAACCUCCUUAUCGAUUGAGUAUACUUACUUAAAAAUCAGAACGACAGUUCUAAUUAAUAGAACAUCUAACGAACAAUGACCCAGGACAAUCCUGAUCAAUGAACCAAGUUACCCUAGGGAUAACAGCGCAAUCCUUUCUAAGAGUCCAUAUCGCCGAAAGGGUUUACGACCUCGAUGUUGGAUCAGGACAUCCUAAUGGUGCAACCGCUAUUAAGGGUUCGUUUGUUCAACGAUUAACAGUCCUACGUGAUUGAGUUCAGACCG